ACGCUCGACACCUACGGGGCAGCAGUGGGGGAUAUUGCACAAUGGGGGAAACCCUGAUGCAGCAACGCCGCGUGAGGGAAGAAGGUUUUCGGAUUGUAAACCUCUGUCCUUGGUGACGAUAAUGACGGUAGCCAAGGAGGAAGCUCCGGCUAACUACGUGUCAGCAGCCGCGGUAAUCUGAGCGGGCUGGCAAGGC
RNAcentral lists this ribosomal RNA (196 nucleotides) under uncultured bacterium. RNAcentral describes it as "partial 16S ribosomal RNA". It matches the Rfam family "Bacterial small subunit ribosomal RNA", at positions 326 to 539 of the family's 1533-position model. The record is from RNAcentral.